Molecule: long non-coding RNA, 636 nt
Filed under: Bos grunniens (domestic yak)
Lineage: Eukaryota; Metazoa; Chordata; Mammalia; Artiodactyla; Bovidae
Description: lncRNA (ENSBGRG00000015327.1)
Source: RNAcentral
AAGAAAAAGUGUAUAUGUUUAUACUUAUAAUUUAACUGUGGUUUGGCUCUUGUAGGCUGAGCAGAUCUACUUUAGUUUACAGGGGCUUCUGGGAAUAGCUCUAGGCUCUGGGUUGGCUUCAGGUCUGCUUCAGUGGUGUUUGUUUUGGGACAUGGACUGAAGGACAGCUACUACUAAAGACACAUCUCUUCUGAUGGCGGAUAAACUUGAAUAAGAGCUGGGUCACACUGUACGUGCACAUUUAAGCCCUGUGACUAGCCAUCUACUGAAUCCCACUGGCCAAAGCAAGUUCCAUAGGCAAGUCUCACACAAGUGGGAUGGAGAUGUAAACUCCACUCAAAGUGGGAAGAGUUGGGUAGUGAAUAUUUAAUGAACAAUAAUCCAUAUUAUUACAUUCUCUCCUCCCAAAGCUGAUUUCGUCUCUUGGGAUAUAAACCAGAAUUUCUAAUUCCUAAAAUAAUUGCUGAAAAGAGAAAUGAGUAUUAUCAAUAAUGCUUAAACUAAUCACCCUAGGGUUGUUGGGAGUCAUGACCCCUGGAGGAAUCUAGUGGUAAUGUGCUCGGCACAAGCAGUUCAUCAGUGCAAUUCAUCCAUCAUCACAGAGACUCACAUUGUCAUAGGGAUGUUUAUUAUGAA